This 214-nucleotide long non-coding RNA is filed under the name Hordeum vulgare. RNAcentral's name for it is "long non-coding RNA (HVUL_LNC006432)". Lineage: Eukaryota; Viridiplantae; Streptophyta; Magnoliopsida; Poales; Poaceae. The record is from RNAcentral.
UUGGCUAUCCGAGAACAUGAUUGUAAUUUUAUUAUUUUGAGAUGUAUUAUUAUACCCUCAAAUGAUAAAGUGUUAGACGUGUCGCACGAAGCAAUCCGGCCUUAAUUUUUACAGCUAAAUUGUCAUCUAAAAAUAAGACAUUUGAACAUAAAGUUGCUAUGCUUGAUAACUAAAGCUGCGAUCCUCAUGCCACUAAACUCAUCAAGGGACACCA